AUUAAACGCUGGCGGCAGGCCUAACACAUGCAAGUCGAACGAGUGGCGGACGGGUGAGUAAUGUCUGGGAAACUGCCUGAUGGAGGGGGAUAACUACUGGAAACGGUAGCUAAUACCGCAUACCAUCAGAUGUGCCCAGAUGGGAUUAGCUUGUUGGUGGGGUAACGGCUCACCAAGGCGACGAUCCCUAGCUGGUCUGAGAGGAUGAUCAGUCAAACUGGAACUGGACCACGGUCCAUACUCCUACGGUAGGCAGAAGUGGGGAAUAUUGGACAAUGGGCGAAAGCCUGAGCCAGCCAUGCCGCGUGUGUGAAGAAGGUCUUCGGAUUGUAAAGCACUUUAAGUUGGGAGGCGUUACCAACAGAAUAAGCACCGGCUAACUUCGUGCCAGCAGCCGCGGUAAUAC
This 406-nucleotide ribosomal RNA is filed under the name uncultured bacterium. RNAcentral's name for it is "partial 16S ribosomal RNA". It matches the Rfam family "Bacterial small subunit ribosomal RNA", at positions 30 to 526 of the family's 1533-position model. The record is from RNAcentral.